UGUAUUGCCUCCUUGGCUUCUUUGUUUUCCAGACUCUCCUCCUCUGGUGCAACUAACUUGGAGCAGCGGUACUUACCUGGUUCCUAAAGUCAGGUUGAUUCUGCUUUUGUCACAGAUUUGUUUGCUCCAUCAUGUUACAGACCUCUUGGUGGUUUUCUCUACCAGGAAGAAUGAAAGGAUUAUGAAACAGAUUAAAGAAUCAAAAAGAAUAAGAAUGCCUUCCCCAGGAGGAAAAACAAAUAUAAAUUGAUGCAGUCCAGCAGAAGGACAACUAACUGUAUGCCUGGUUCUGAGCCUGGUUCUCCUAGCUCACCUCUAGCAUUGGACUUGAUAUUUGCUGUGUGAUGUCACUCUGAGAAUUUUAAAUGUUGAGUAUAGAUUUUUUCCUCUUUCAAUAUUUUAUAUGUUUAUAUCAG
RNAcentral lists this long non-coding RNA (416 nucleotides) under Mus spicilegus (steppe mouse). RNAcentral describes it as "lncRNA (ENSMSIG00000010871.1)". Lineage: Eukaryota; Metazoa; Chordata; Mammalia; Rodentia; Muridae. The record is from RNAcentral.